Molecule: ribosomal RNA, 429 nt
Filed under: Fusobacteriota bacterium
Lineage: Bacteria; Fusobacteriati; Fusobacteriota
Description: Fusobacteria bacterium partial 16S ribosomal RNA
Rfam family: Bacterial small subunit ribosomal RNA
Source: RNAcentral
UGGGGAAUAUUGCGCAAUGGGCGAAAGCCUGACGCAGCGACGCCGCGUGAGGGAUGAAGGUUUUCGGAUCGUAAACCUCUGUCAGAAGGGAAGAAACCGCACUGUGCUAAUCAGCAGUGCCUUGACGUUACCUUCAAAGGAAGCACCGGCUAACUCCGUGCCAGCAGCCGCGGUAAUACGGAGGGUGCAAGCGUUAAUCGGAAUUACUGGGCGUAAAGCGCACGUAGUCUGAUUUGUAAGUCAGGGGUGAAAUCCCACGGCUCAACCGUGAAACUGCGUUUGAUACUGCUUAGCUUGAACACGGGAGAGGGUGGCGGAAUUCCAGGUGUAGGAGUGAAAUCCGUAGAUAUCUGGAGGAACAUCAGUGGCGAAGGCGGCCACCUGGACCGGUAUUGACGCUGAGGUGCGAAAGCGUGGGGAGCAAACAGG